GCCGCGGUAAUUCCAGCUCCAAUAGCGUAUAUUAACGUUGUUGCAGUUAAAAAGCUCGUAGUUGAAGUGAGGGAGUGUGUGUUGUGAUCGAAUCGAUCGAGAGCAGUACAACCUCCCCCUUCCAAUGGGUGUAUUGGGGUAUUCAUUUACUUCAUUACUCCUUUGGUCGUUUACUGUGAGAAAAUUAGAGUGUUCAAAGCGGGCGUUUGUUUGAAUAGAUUAGCAUGGAAUAAUGAUUGAAGGCUUUCGUGUUCGAUUUGAUUGGUUUGUUCAUGGAAGCAAGGUUAAAAGGAACAGUUGGGGGUAUUCAUAUUCACUAGUUAGAGGUGAAAUUCUCGGAUUUAUGGAAGAUGAACAGGUGCGAAAGCAUUUACCAAGGAUGUUUUCAUUAAUCAAGAGCGAAGG
This 405-nucleotide ribosomal RNA is filed under the name Blastocystis sp. RNAcentral describes it as "SSU rRNA". It matches the Rfam family "Eukaryotic small subunit ribosomal RNA", at positions 573 to 989 of the family's 1831-position model. Lineage: Eukaryota; Bigyra; Opalinata; Blastocystidae. The record is from RNAcentral.